CCUACGGGAGGCUGCAGUGGGGGAUAUUGCACAAUGGGGGAAACCCUGAUGCAGCGACGCCGCGUGGGUGAAGAAGUAUUUCGGUAUGUAAAGCCCUAUCAGCAGGGAAGAAAGAAGACGGUACCUGACUAAGAAGCCCCGGCUAACUACGUGCCAGCAGCCGCGGUAAUACGUAGGGGGCGAGCGUUAUCCGGAUUCACUGGGUGUAAAGGGAGCGUAGACGGCCGUGCAAGCCAGGAGUGAAAGCCCGGGGCCCAACCCCGGGACUGCUCUUGAAACUGUGCGGCUGGAGUGCGGGAGGGGCAGGCGGAAUGCCUGGUGUAGCGGUGAAAUGCGUAGAUAUCAGGAGGAACACCGGCGGCGAAGGCGGCCUGCUGGACCGCGACUGACGUUGAGGCUCGAAAGCGUGGGGAGCGAACAGGAUUAGAUACCCGGGUAGUC
This 441-nucleotide ribosomal RNA is filed under the name uncultured bacterium. Its description in RNAcentral is "partial 16S ribosomal RNA". It matches the Rfam family "Bacterial small subunit ribosomal RNA", at positions 338 to 795 of the family's 1533-position model. The record is from RNAcentral.